AAAGAAACAAACAAAAAAAAAAACUCGUAAUUUUCAUAACCCCUGUUUGAUUUUAUCUAUCCUCUCAAAAUUAAUUCUUUACAAUCACAAUCUCAGUAGGUUGAUCACAAACUGAGUAAUUUUGGUAUCUAUUAUUGUUCUCAGUAGGUUGAUCACAAAAAGAAAACCAUUCUACAUAACAUAAGUAAGAGCGAAAGCGAGAGAAAGUAACGAAGAACCAUAGCACCCCAAAUAUAUUCUUCUUCAAGCAUCACCAGUUGUGGACGAUGAUCAUGAUAUCGCAUACGAGGAUGGACCAGUUGAUGGAUGAUGUUAUGAUAAGUGGUAACUAAAUAUUUUUGCUUAUAUUUGAUUGUAAUUGUGAUUGUGAUAUUGGUAGGAAAUAGAAAUUUGGUAAACACAUUACCAACUGAUAUUUUUUGGGGGUAAAAAAGGUUGACGUUGAUGAUGACGAGAAAGAAAAGGAAAGACUAUUAGAGAAGCCUAUGGAAUCAAUCUGCUGAAAUUGUAGUUAAGAUAGCAGAAAUUGCAGACAUGAUUUGGGGGAAGGAAACGAUAGCUUACAACAUAGGUUGAAGAUAUGUUGCAUUCAAAGAUUCACAGGGAUUAGAGAUUGCUAUUCUUUCUUCCGUAUGUUUGCUAUUUUCCUUUCUCAUUUUGUCAUGACAUUCAUAGUUGAGCUAAAUAGAUGAAUAAAUGGUCUAGGGAGUGAUAUUUGUUAGUUGGUUCGGAGGAGAAAAUUUUUGAUGGGGGCAAAUCUUGAAAGGGACAUGGGAACCAAUAAAAACCCGACAUGUGUUUUUCAUUUUUAGACGGUUUUUACCAAAUUUAAUUUAAGAUUUUAUACUACUA
Papaver somniferum (opium poppy) is the source of this 852-nucleotide long non-coding RNA. RefSeq lists it as uncharacterized. The record is from RefSeq and is a predicted model, not a curated record. NCBI's taxonomy places the organism in Eukaryota, Viridiplantae, Streptophyta, Magnoliopsida, Ranunculales, Papaveraceae. The transcript has 2 exons.